This 1996-nucleotide unclassified non-coding RNA is filed under the name Hevea brasiliensis (rubber tree). Lineage: Eukaryota; Viridiplantae; Streptophyta; Magnoliopsida; Malpighiales; Euphorbiaceae. The record is from RNAcentral.
UUUAUUGUACAUCACAGUUCGACAAGCCAUCAGAAUGAACUGAUAAAAAAUAAAAUAAGAAAAAGGAAAAUCUAAUGAUUCUCUUAAAAAUACGAGAUUACGCAUCCUGGUUUACGUUAAAUUAAGAGGGUAGACGGUAUCAAAGACAAUCCUUGCAAAUGUAUGGCGAACUUCCUGCAGGCUUCCUAAAGCUAACAUCUCAUAAUUUAUCUUGCUACCUUGUUUUGGGACAAAUCCCUUCUCUGUUCCCUGUCUUAUACAAUCGAAUAUCCUACACGCUUUUAAAUACAGGGGCAAUGGAAUGAAUACCUGCACAUUAGAGACAACAAAUUAGGUCAUUCAAUUCAAUCCCAGUAAGUCUCGCAACAUCUACAUUAUUAAAAAAACCAUACACACUCAAAUAAAAAUAAAAUAAAACAUAGACCAAACUUGUCCAAAGUUCUUCUCAUGUAAACUUUCAAUUAGACAUUAGCGACAAAAAAGCUUUUCACCACUUCCAACAUAAAAGCAUUCUGGUUCAAACAGGGGAAAGAGAGAAAAGUGCUUACUAGAUCUGAAUAUGGAGCUUGAGGAUACUCUGCCAUGGCUUGAGAGACAUAAUACUCAUCAGUCAUCAUACUUAGCACCCGUUUAAUAGAGACUACAAGAUCCAUAACCUCAUCACUCAAUGCCUCUGUAUCCUUGUCCCCAAGUUCUGACAAUUCAUCAAAGCGGACAUCAUGCGGCCUAUUGAUCCUCCUUGCUAUGUUUAGUGCUUCUGACAUAUCACCACCAUUGUGCACGGCAAGACAAAAUAUAGCAACCACCAGAGGAUCCCUUGGUUGGUCAGAUAAUGCUUUAUGGAAUGCUAAGAUUCCAACCCAUAAGCUGCUGUGGCAUGGCCUGUCAGGUGCAAGAAGCUUAUCCAGGUUUGAAAACAGAGACAAAAGCAUAUUGGUUCUCUUGUCACGUCUCCUAAAACCAUGAUGAACAAAAUAUGCUGCCUGAAUGGGCAGAAGUACUUCAAGAAGGCCAAAUUUCCAUAAUAACCUCAAAGAAGCUUCAGCAGAACCAUAUGCUAGCAUGUAGUUCAUUUCCAUCAAAAGCCUUCCCUUAUCAAGUCUCAAAAUUGUGCAAGCAAAAUUUUUAACAAAAUGAGCUGUUUCUCUUGAAAAGCGGAAUCCUAAACGGGCAGCAAUUCUCACUGCACGUAGAAUGCGAGCACAGUCAUCCUGGAAAGAAGUGCUUGCAGGGAUCAUAGUUUUCACUUUAGCCUUUCUAAUAUCUUCUAGACCUCCCAUGUAAUCAUACACUAGUUUUGCAUAUGGAUCAAACAUCAACCCAUUAAUGGUGAAGUCCCUUUGCAAACAAUUCCUCCAACGAACAUAAUCCUUCUCAUCACAGUCAAUGGGACUUUGGACAUCAUAGCUCAAGUCCCCACUGAACUUUCGUCCAGUGGUACUAAAACUUGAAACCUCUACUAUAGUACCCUCAACAUGUACAUGACAUAUAGGGAACCGUUUGCCAACUAUCUCACACCGCGAAAAUGCCCUCGCUACCUCUUUAAGUUCAGCUGACGUUAUUAUGUCGAAGUCCUUUGGUAUUCGCUUUAAGAUAAGAUCCCGGACACAACCUCCAACAAGGUAUACCUCAUAUCCUCUUUGCCUGAGCCCAUUGAGAACCUUUCUCGUAGGCCUUGCUAUCAUGGAAGUACUAAUUCCAAGUUCCUUGGAAUUCAACUUCUUCCACUCCGGUACCUUAUGAUACUUUCUCCCCACUUCUCCUCCUAAAUUGUGUCUCUUUUCAUCGAUGAUGCGCUCUGGCUCAUCUAGCGUCUCAACUGCUGCAACGGAGCCGAAUCGAGGCUUGCGAAUACAGUGAAAGAUAGGAAGGCGGAGAGAGAAAUGCGAUCUACACGCAAAGCCGUUUAGGCCUGAAAUCGUCAUGAAUGAUUUUGGACGGUAGUUCGCCUCCCACCAUGUGAUGAAAUGCUUAAACCCUUCCCGGCUCAUCUAGC